This 301-nucleotide ribosomal RNA is filed under the name uncultured bacterium. Its description in RNAcentral is "partial 16S ribosomal RNA". It matches the Rfam family "Bacterial small subunit ribosomal RNA", at positions 509 to 809 of the family's 1533-position model. The record is from RNAcentral.
CAGUCGCCACGGGAAUACGAAGGGUGCAAGCGUUAAUCGGAAUUACUGGGCGUAAAGCGUGCGUAGGCGGCUUCUUAAGUCGGAUGUGAAAUCCCUGAGCUUAACUUAGGAAUUGCAUUCGAUACUGGGAAGCUAGAGUAUGGGAGGGGAUGGUAGAAUUCCAGGUGUAGCGGUGAAAUGCGUAGAGAUCUGGAGGAAUACCGAUGGCGAAGGCAGCCAUCUGGCCUAAUACUGACGCUGAGGUACGAAAGCAUGGGGAGCAAACAGGAUUAGAUACCCGUGUAGUCCCUGUCUCUUAUAA